CCUACGGGUGGCAGCAGUGAGGAAUAUUGGUCAAUGGGCGCGAGCCUGAACCAGCCAAGUCGCGUGAGGAAUGACGGUCCUACGGAUUGUAAACCUCUUUUGCCGGGGAGCAAACGUGCGCUCGUGAACGCACGUCGAGAGUACCCGGAGAAAAAGCAUCGGCUAACUCCGUGCCAGCAGCCGCGGUAAUACGGGGGAUGCAAGCGUUAUCCGGAUUUAUUGGGUUUAAAGGGUGCGUAGGCUGUGAGGUAAGUCAGCGGGGAAAUGCCCCCGCUCAACGGGGUGAAGUGCCAUUGAUACUGCCUUGCUGGAAUGCGGAUGCCGUGGGAGGAAUGUGUGGUGUAGCGGUGAAAUGCAUAGAUAUCACACAGAACACCGAUUGCGAAGGCAUCUCACGAAUCCGCGAUUGACGCUGAUGCACGAAAGCGUGGGUAUCAAACAGGAUUAGAUACCCUUGUAGUC
RNAcentral lists this ribosomal RNA (462 nucleotides) under uncultured bacterium. RNAcentral's name for it is "partial 16S ribosomal RNA". It matches the Rfam family "Bacterial small subunit ribosomal RNA", at positions 338 to 795 of the family's 1533-position model. The record is from RNAcentral.